This 483-nucleotide ribosomal RNA is filed under the name uncultured bacterium. RNAcentral describes it as "partial 16S ribosomal RNA". It matches the Rfam family "Bacterial small subunit ribosomal RNA", at positions 30 to 507 of the family's 1533-position model. The record is from RNAcentral.
AUUGAACGCUGGCGGCAGGCCUAACACAUGCAAGUCGAGCGGAUGAAGGGAGCUUGCUCCUGGAUUCAGCGGCGGACGGGUGAGUAAUGCCUAGGAAUCUGCCUGGUAGUGGGGAUAACGUCCGGAAACGGGCGCUAAUACCGCCUACGUCCUGAGGGAUAAAGUGGGGGAUCUUCGGACCUCACGCUAUCAGAUGAGCCUAGGUCGGAUUAGCUAGUUGGUGGGGUAAAGGCCUACCAAGGCGACGAUCCGUAACUGGUCUGAGAGGAUGAUCAGUCACACUGGAACUGGGACACGGUCCAGACUCCUACGGGAGGCAGCAGUGGGGAAUAUUGGACAAUGGGCGAAAGCCUGAUCCAGCCAUGCCGCGUGUGUGAAGAAGGUCUUCGGAUUGUAAAGCACUUUAAGUUGGGAGGAAGGGCAGUAAGUUAAUACCUUGCUGUUUUGACGUUACCAACAGAAUAAGCACCGGCUAACUUCGUG